Molecule: transfer RNA, 73 nt
Filed under: Cordylochernes scorpioides
Lineage: Eukaryota; Metazoa; Arthropoda; Arachnida; Pseudoscorpiones; Chernetidae
Description: tRNA-Phe
Rfam family: tRNA
About the family: Transfer RNA (tRNA) molecules are approximately 80 nucleotides in length. Their secondary structure includes four short double-helical elements and three loops (D, anti-codon, and T loops).
Source: RNAcentral
ACCGAAAUAGCUCAGUUAGGUGAGCGUUAGACUGAAAAUCUAAAGGUCCCUGGUUCGAUCCCGGGUUUCGGCA